Molecule: ribosomal RNA, 966 nt
Filed under: Triticum aestivum (bread wheat)
Lineage: Eukaryota; Viridiplantae; Streptophyta; Magnoliopsida; Poales; Poaceae
Description: partial small subunit ribosomal RNA
Source: RNAcentral
AUGGCGGCUUCCUCUUGCUUCCCGUUAGCUGCUCGCUGCAGCCUCUUGCUCACGGCAGCGCUAGUCCUAGCGCUAAGCCAUGGAGCCCACGGUUAUGGCGAUGCCGGUGCCGGGUUGAGCUCGUCCUUCUACGACGACUCGUGCCCCGGUGCGCGCGACAUUGUUCGGCGCGUCAUCCAGAACGCCCGCACCGUCGACGCGUGCAUCCCAGCCAGCCUCAUCCGCCUUCACUUCCAUGAUUGCUUUGUUCAGGGUUGUGACGGCUCGCUUUUGCUGGACAACGACCUCCCAGCGAUCAUGACUGAGAAGGAGGUCCCUGCCAACGACAGGUCAGCACGCGGGUUCAAGGUGGUCGACAGCAUCAAGCGUGCACUGGAGAACGCAUGCCCUGGCAUCGUGUCCUGCGCCGACAUCCUCGCCCUCGCCUCCGAGAUCUCCGUCGAGCUGGCUGGAGGGCCACGCUGGAGUGUGCCGCUUGGCCGCCGUGAUGGCACGACCACCAACAUCGAGAGCGCCAACAAUCUACCGAGCCCCUUCGACUCUCUAGAGACGCUCCAGGAGAAGUUCAGAAACUUGGGCCUCAACGACAUUGACCUUGUCGCCCUCCAAGGAGCACACACCUUUGGGCGGGCGCAAUGCCAGUUCACGCAGCGGAACUGCAGCGCCGGGCAGGACGAGGAGACGCUGGUGAACCUUGACAGAGUCACCCCUGACGUCUUUGACAACAAGUACUAUGGCAACCUCUUGCGUGGCCAUGCCCCUCUCCCUUCGGACCAGGUAAUGUUGUCUGAUCCCGUUGCCGCCACGACUACCGCGCCGAUCGUUCGUAGGUUCUCCGGAAGCCAGAUGGAUUUCUUCAAGAAUUUCGCGGCCUCCAUGGUCAAAAUGGGGAACAUAAACCCGCUGACCGGAAGGGAUGGGGAGAUUAGGAACAACUGCCGGAGGGUGAACAGAAAACCCUAUUGA